This 830-nucleotide small RNA is filed under the name Pan troglodytes (chimpanzee). RNAcentral's name for it is "processed transcript". Lineage: Eukaryota; Metazoa; Chordata; Mammalia; Primates; Hominidae. The record is from RNAcentral.
UUUCAAGAAAAUAAUGUUGAAGUUUAUUUGAAGACCUGCUGUACAUCUGUAUUAGUCCGUUCUCAUGCUGCUAGAAAGAAAUACUUGAGACUGGGAACUUAUGCUGUGCUAUUUGAUUAAACCCUCUACUAUGACUGACAAGGAAAUGGAGUCACCAGAAUGUAUGAAAAGGAUUAAAGUUCAGGAGGUGAUUCUGAGUCGAUGGGUUUCUUCACGAGAGAGGAGUGACCAAGACGAUCUUUAACAAUUCAACCUCAAAUUUCUAAUUUCACCAACAACUAUUUAUUGAGGGCUAGGUAAAAAGUUCUUUUUGUUGUAAUCGUCCAUUAAUUCAUAAGUUUUAAAGGGCAUGGUGCUCCCAGCACCAGAAAACUAUCAGUGUUUUUAAAGAUAAAUUACACAAGGGAGGAGAAAGAUCCCUGUGCCAGGACUGCAGAUUCUAUACUUGCGUUGGCCUCUAACUCUCCAAUCCAGAGCCUCCUGCCUCUGGCGUCAGUCUGUUCCCUCAUCCACUCACUGGGGAGAUUGGACUAGAUGAGUCCUGAGAGGACACUUCCAACAAGAGACAUUUAUUCUCUGAUUUUACCUGAAAAUGGUAGUAGUUUACAUUUAUACAGUACAGUUUAUGAAGCACUUUCAUACGCAGGCAUCUCUUGUUACCUACAUCUAAGCUGUUCCCGAAAGAGUGUUACAGAACACAACAGUAUUGUACAAUAUUCGAUAAGCAUAUCUUCACUGCACUUGUUAUAAAAAUGAGUGGUGAAAUAAUGUUUGGAGACAUAAUGAAAGCAAUUAACAUUUGGCAAAAUAUAAUAAAGCCUUUUUGUAAU